RNAcentral lists this long non-coding RNA (1076 nucleotides) under Parus major (Great Tit). RNAcentral describes it as "lncRNA (ENSPMJG00000006301.1)". Lineage: Eukaryota; Metazoa; Chordata; Aves; Passeriformes; Paridae. The record is from RNAcentral.
GGGGAAGCUCCGGGCAGGCGGAAAGGAGGAUUCACAAGGGCUGGAUGGGAGCCACGGCCCCGGCGCAGGGGCUGCGCCUCAAGCAGGACAAAGAGCGAGGCUCUGGCCGGCCCCGAGUUGUGCUGACGGCCGCAGAAUCCUCUGGCACGGGGAGAUGGAGCAGCAUUCCCAAAGCUCACGUGUGGAGGAGGUAGAGGGGAUGGACACUUUCCGCAGCCGUGAAAAUUUCAUACUUCAUCUUCGCCCGGCCGCGGCCACAAGAGUUUCACGAGCGGGGGACAAUAGGUUCUGUUUAUUCAGCCACAAUAAAGAGCCUGUUUCACUCUGGACUGCAAGUGGCUGAGCCAUCUGGCCCAUAUCUCCACAGUAAAACAUUGUCCGUGGCACAAAAAAUGAUUGCAUCCCCAGGACAAACUGAUGUGACCUCGGAAUAAAGGCUUCCUCUGAAGCUAUGAUAUCAUACUGCAGAGGGGACACCGGCACAAUGGAAUCUGCUCCCCCAGAGCACAAGUGAGAUAGGACUAUUUAAAUCCAAUUUUACAGGAGACUUUUUGUCCUCGGUGGCAAAGCACCCAGAUCCGACGACAGCAUUGAAACAUCUUUUUCUAUGCACUCUUAAGGCAACAGAGCGGUUCUGUCUGGCCUUGGCAGCCUCUGCAGCUCGCUCCGGGCCCAGGAAGCGUCGUCCAGCACCUGCAAGCUUCUCUUCCAACAACAUUUUACUGACGGGGCGGCACCUGCAGCGGGGCCCGGCACAAACAAGCGCCUCUUUCUGCUCCGUGCCAGGCGGAAAAGCUGAGCUGAGCUGGGCUGGGCACGCGGCCCCGGCACGGCUCUACCUGCCCCGGAAUUCCUGCAGCCCCCAGGGAGGAGAUCCAUGGGGAGAAAUGCUCCUGGAAGGGCCGGGGGAUGGCGGGGAAGGGGCUGAUCCUUGCCGGGAUGAUGCUGUGGGAAUGCACUGCCCGCAAUUCUGCGGCCCUGGAAGGGGAUCCUGGAGCUCCCACAUCCCCUCAGUCUGGGGCAGGAGACCCUGCUGCUUGACAAGGCGAAGUUUGGUCAAAGGCUGCACUCGAUGA